Molecule: ribosomal RNA, 609 nt
Filed under: uncultured bacterium
Lineage: Bacteria
Description: bacterial SSU rRNA
Rfam family: Bacterial small subunit ribosomal RNA
Source: RNAcentral
GAGCGGCAGACGGGAGAGUAACACGUGGGAACAUGCCCUUCGGUUCGGAAUAACUCAGGGAAACUUGAGCUAAUACCGGAUACGUCAGGAGAAAGAUUUAUCGCCGAAGGAUUGGCCCGCGUCCGAUUAGCUAGUUGGUGAGGUAAUGGCUCACCAAGGCGACGAUCGGUAGCUGGUCUGAGAGGAUGAUCAGCCUCAUUGGGACUGAGACACGGCCCAAACUCCUACGGGAGGCAGCAGUGGGGAAUAUUGGACAAUGGGCGCAAGCCUGAUCCAGCCAUGCCGCGUGGGUGAUGAAGGCCUUAGGGUUGUAAAGCCCUUUCGGCGGGGAAGAUAAUGACGGUACCCGCAGAAGAAGCCCCGGCUAACUUCGUGCCAGCAGCCGCGGUAAUACGAAGGGGGCUAGCGUUGCUCGGAAUCACUGGGCGUAAAGCGCACGUAGGCGGACUCUUAAGUCGGUGGUGAAAUCCUGGAGCUCAACUCCAGAACUGCCUUCGAUACUGGGAGUCUUCGAGUCCGGGAGAGGUGAGUGGAACUGCGAGUGUAGAGGUGAAAUUCGUAGAUAUUCGCAAGAACACCAGUGGUGAAGGCGGCUCACUGGCCCGGUAC